GCAAGCAGCCUCAAAAUCUUAUUUCCCUGAUCCCGUCUGAUCUCGGAAGCUAAGCAGGGUCGGGCCUGGUUAGUACUUGGAUGGGAGACCACUUAGGAAGACCAGGUGCUGUAGGCG
Molecule: ribosomal RNA, 117 nt
Filed under: Pteropus alecto (black flying fox)
Lineage: Eukaryota; Metazoa; Chordata; Mammalia; Chiroptera; Pteropodidae
Source: RNAcentral